RNAcentral lists this long non-coding RNA (1615 nucleotides) under Eucalyptus grandis. Its description in RNAcentral is "long non-coding RNA (EGRA_LNC000966)". Lineage: Eukaryota; Viridiplantae; Streptophyta; Magnoliopsida; Myrtales; Myrtaceae. The record is from RNAcentral.
AUAGUAUCGAAAAAGUACCAGGCCUAGCGUCACGCCCCGAUCCUCUGAGCACGUGCCCAUCCCUCCUUGGUCGAUUAAUAGUGAUGUCCCAGGACGCAUCACCGACCUAUUCAUUUAAUAUACGCAUGCAAAAGCAUAUAAAUAAUCCCCAGACAAUAAAACAAUGUGAUAGGAAAAUAUGACUCAAAAUUUUCACAACCCGAAUGAACCUUUUAUAAACAAACUUGUUUAUUUACAACAGCAAGCUAUCUACAAAAUCUAUCGGCUCCACAAAAGGUAAUGGUUCUAUGGCCCACUAGUCGGACACAUUGCCGAUCCUUCGAUCUCCACCUUCCCAGACUCCAGGGCUUUCGGUCCUUUGUGAUUGCCAUUUAGGGACCUGAAAAUGGUUAUUCAAUAACCAGUGAGACAACGUCUCAGCAAGUUCUACCCCCUAAGACCCGAUUAAUAAACCAAUACACUAUGGGCUGCAUAUGCACGCACGGGUCAGAGGACUUACCUUGGCCUCGGAUUCCACCUGCAUAUUAGCACGGUUCAAAUAGGCACCCAAUCAAAUGCUACCGAUCAAAGCAUCAAUCAAUCGACCUAGUCGAUUUACAUGUCAAAUAGACUUUCAUUUGGUCAUUUCAAUCAAUACCGUCCAUUCUUCAAAAUAACCUAUCGGGUUACCGAGCCAGUAUUUUAUACGAUUCAUUCUUCAAAAUGACAUAUAAGUCACCGAGUAUAUUCAUCAUAACGUCCAUUCUACAAAAUGACUUGUUGAGUCACCGAGCCAUUAUGGCAUGCCGUCCAUUCUACAAAAUGACCUAUAGGGUCACCGAGCCGGCAUUACAUGUCAUCCAUUCUACAAAAUGACAUAUAGUGUCACCGAGCCGAUAUUGUAUAACAUGAUACUUCAAAUGUACAAUCAAUUUGCCCUUUUAUUCAUUUCUAACAAAAGUAUACGUGCAUGGGCACACGGUUGACCUUAGCCAAAACAUAAUAUUUUUCCUUUCCAUAACUCCCACAUUUUUUGUAGUCCACUCAAAUCCUUUUGGCAUUAUCAACCGAUGCCCGGUUAUUUUUCAAUUAAUAACCAAAGACUAAUCAAUUAAAGAAUAAUUCUCAAUUUCACAAAUAAUUCAAUUCAACACAAAAUAAAACUCAAUUAAAUAAACGGACUGCACCACGACAAUCAGUAUAAAAUUCCGGUCGUCGACUAUCACUGCCUUAUUUCCAGAAAAUAAAUAAUUAGAUAAAUAAUUUCGAAAAUUAAUAAAUAAAUACUAAAAAUCCAAUUUAGGCCCGUAUUGCCUAAUUGAAGCCCAAUAAGGGUUGGGAAAAAUCCCGAGAUGUAUUCAAUAAAUAGUAGUACUUGCCUACUUGCUAAUUGCACAAUCAAAUUACCUAACAUGCAUCACAAUUAAUUAAUAAUCACUCUAAUCUAACCACCUAAUCCUACUUAAUUAACACUAAUCAACCCUUAAGCAUCAUUAGCUUACUAAGCAAGGAUUAAGGAGCAAAACUCACAUGAUUAAAGAUCCGCUCGGAUCAAAAUGACAAGGCCGCGAUGGGGAACGAUAAACCUCAAAGCGAGACCGCCAAGCGGGGCCAAACCGGGGCCGAAAUCAGCCAC